GGUAUAGCUUAGUGGUAGAGCACAUGUUUAGUUUGCAUGUGGUCCUGGGUUCAACCCCCAGUACC
This 65-nucleotide transfer RNA is filed under the name Camelus bactrianus (Bactrian camel). It matches the Rfam family "tRNA". Rfam says of the family: Transfer RNA (tRNA) molecules are approximately 80 nucleotides in length. Lineage: Eukaryota; Metazoa; Chordata; Mammalia; Artiodactyla; Camelidae. The record is from Rfam by way of RNAcentral. RNAcentral also lists the same sequence under 3 other names.